Molecule: long non-coding RNA, 4017 nt
Organism: Manis javanica (Malayan pangolin)
Lineage: Eukaryota; Metazoa; Chordata; Mammalia; Pholidota; Manidae
Source: RefSeq, a predicted model, not a curated record
GACAUGCAAAGCACUUAGGCCUGUGUGUCUGGCACACAAGUGCUCAACAACGACCGAGCAUUAUGGGAAGUGAGGCACCAUCAUUAUUUUUAUUUAAUCCUUGCUGCUCCUGGGCCAGCCUCCCAGCUAAGCUGGUGUCUUCAUCCCCCAGGAGAAUUCCCAACCCUGGCAACUUCAGAUUGAGUGUCCAGCUGCUCACCAGGCUUGAAGGAGGAUCUGAGUCUUGCUCAGCUACACAUUGAACAGCCAGCACACGGACCAGCUGCAGAGCUGAUGACUGGAUGGCUGCCCUGGAUAAUACUUCAUACAGUAGUUUGAAGCACCAGAGAGAAAGAAAUAUGAAGGGCCCAGUCCAUACUAAACGUUUGCUGUCACGGAGGCAAGAGUUGGCACCCGAGGCUUGGAAAUCAAUGGUCGAACCUGGAAAAAUAGCACCAAGCCAUCGGAUCCAGGGAGUGCGCCCAGAGCCAGGAGGCACAGCUCUGGCCAUGGCAGCCGGGAGGGGAGUCCCUGUCAUCUCCCCGCUGCAGCGCAGAGCCCAGCUUUCCUGCCGAGGAGCCUGCCAGGUGCGCAGCCCGUGGCCGCCGCUUGGUGGGUGUGCCUGCGUGGGCACGGGCCAGGGACCCGGCGGGCGGAGCCCCACGCCCAUCCUCCCGCCGGCCCGCCCUUUCUCCCGUGGCUGAUGGCAGGUUUCAAGGGGAGCCCCCUUCCGCCUUGUGUCUGAGGAUUAUCAGUCCCAGGGUCAAGAUUUUUACAGGCGGCAAGAAGAAGGCCUCCCAGGCGGCACCUUACCUGCUCUGUGAUGUUUCCCUACCUGUAAAAUGAGAGUGACCACCUCAGAGAGGCUGUGAGGAUGAAAAGAGAGGUAGCUUGGUGGCAGGAAGUGCCAGGCCAGCUGCCAUGAAGAUGAUGGGCAUGGGGGUGAUGGGGGUUCUUCUGUGUGAUUUUGGAUUUGUUGUUCCCUGCUGACAUGUGAUGAGAGAUGGAGAAGCAGGGCAGAGAGAAAACUGGCCUGGAGUCCAGAGUCCGGAGGUUCCAGCUGCGUGACAUUUACAGUGGAGUCAUCACGAUGCAUCAACUUCCACACACUUAAACUCACGGGUAGGAGAGAAGAGAGUGAGAUGUGGACAAAUCACUACUAUGGAGUUACACUCCCAUCCCACCCUGUGAGCACUCACCUUGAUGGGGACGUGACCUAAUGUGACCUGAUGCAGUCCCCCAGUCAGUCCCAGCAAAGUGUGGGCUCUUGUCGUGCCCCAUUGAUUCUGAUGUUCAAAAUUUUUAUACUGCGGGGCCCUAAAUACAAGCCAACCUUUUCAUCUGGUGGUCAGCGGAAGCCACAGUUAUCUGUAACAACACCAGAGAAAGAAUCUGCCAUAUUCACUGUCAACUGAUGGAUGACCUUGCUUCCUGUUUUACUGGGAAAACAGAAGCCAUCAGAAGGAAACUUCUCUAGAGUCCCACCUCACCCGCCCUCCACUCACCAGCUGGCAUCCGUGCCCAUUUCUCUGCUCCUCCCCCCCUUACAUGGAUGCCUAGUGUGAGCUUUUGAGACCACGCCCUCCACUGGGGCACUGUCCGCUGUCCUCUCUUGCUGUCUCCAGGACGGAUCCUGCCAUUUCUUCCUUCUCUUGUGCAGCUUCAAGUUUCCCCCUCUUCUACUGGUUUAUUCCCAUCAGCACACAAUCAUGCUGCAACUCCCAGUCUUAGAGGUACGCACGCACACACACAUGGAGCCAGACACGUCUGUUUUCCUUUACAGGAAAACUUCUCCAAGAGUUUUCCAAGUUGAAAGUCUUAAUUGUUGUUUUUCCUUUCUCUCUUCAACUCACUCUAGUUGGUCUUUCAACCCCACCACUCCACUGGACUGUGACCAGUGCCACGGUCAGUACUGGUCCUCAGCAUCAGCAUCUGACCAGGUGACUGAGCCAUCCUUGUAUACAUCCUCCCCGUGUCUUCCUGGACCCCACCGUCUCAGUGCCCCUCCCAACCACAGGGCACCUUUGCAGUCUCCUCCCUCAUCUUCCUGAUGUCCACAUGCUGGAGUUCCCUGGAAGUCAGCCCUUGGACCUCUCCUUUUCCACAGCACACUCCCCUGUUGCUCGCCUCUGGUCCUGAGGUUUCAUAUACAUCCUGUAUACUGAUGGCUAUAGAUUUGUUUCUCCAGCCCAGACCUUCCCACCCAACUCCAGAAUCAUACAUCUAUACUCAAAGACCCGACUAGAAACCUGAACUUAAUACAGAAUGCUUAAAUUUUACUCCUAAAUCUGAUCCUUCCUUGGUCUUCCCAUAUCUGCAAAUGGCAAGUCCAUCCUUCACGUUGCUCAGGCCACAGGCUGGGUCACCCUUGACCCCUCUCUCUUAUACUCCGCAGGAACACCCCCAUCCCUACCUUCAGAGGAUAUCCAGAAUCUGGCCCUCACCACCUCCACGGGCUACGACCCACUUCCAAGGCACCAUCAUUUCCUGCCUGGAUGUAUGUAAAAGCUUCCCAGUGGGGCUCCCUGUUUCCUCCCUUGUCCCCGCUCCACAUUCUACUUGCUGCUUAGUAGCUGGGAUCAUCUCUUAAAACUUGAGUCAAAUUAGUUCAGUCCUCUUUCUAAACCCUCACAUGGCUCUCUUCUUACUUGAAGAAAAUCUUAACACCUUUCUGUGGCUGAGAAGGUCCUGCAUGACCCCCUCACCUUGCCUCAGCUUGUUUUCCCUCCCUCGCUGCAACUGCACUGCAGUCCCUGCAGUACACACUUGCUGUCCCCCUGCCUCUGAAGACUGUUCUGGCCCAUUUAUCCAUCCAUAGCAUUCACUUCUGCUCACUCUUAUGGGAGCUUUCACUGGCCAUCCCACAUAAACAAGCACCCCAUCCUCCCUCCCUCCCUCACUUCUGCCACUUUCUGGCACCCUCACUAUCAGAUGCACAUUCCAUUUUCUUGUUGGUUUAUGUGUGUCUUGAAUGUCUCCCUCCCUAGAAUGUCAGCUCCACAAAGGUAGAGACUUUGUUUCAUCCUCCACUGUAUUAUCCAGAACAGUGCCUGCCUCAUAGUGAGUGUUCCAUAAAUACAUAUUAUAUGAAUGAACGUGUUUGAAUAACCAAGAAGCUAUUUUUUGGGAUCCACCGAGACAUCUUCCUAAAGGAUUUUCAGCAUUUGUUCAUUCAACAAACAUUUUAUGGGGUAUUUUCUUUUUGUGCUAACUUUAAAAAUGAACCCCAUGGUAUGAUGAAUUUCAAUGUAUUCUCUGUGUCAUGCCCUUUCAAGACUCAGUCUGUGAGAUGGAGUGACCAUAUAUUCACCAUACAUUUGUCGAGCAUCUAUCGUGUGUUUGAGCCUGACAUUCAGAAAGGAGAAAUCAAAAUAAGAUAAUCUCUGGAGGGAGAGACAGAGAUGAAAAUACAUAAUUUAAAUAUAUAAUUUAAAUCCACAACUGCCCUAACAGUAAAAACAUUGGUGAGGAUGUGGGUGACUGGGGAGUCUCAUGCAUUAUUAGUGGAAUCUCAUGCAUAAAUCGGCACAACCUUUGUGAAAGGCUUGUCCUUUAGCUCUGACUCUCCGGUCUAGGAAUUUACCCUCAGGAGAUUAUCACCUAAAGGCAAAAAGACACAGGGAUGUUCAUUGAUAAUUUUUUUCAUUAUAUUGAAAAAUUGGAAACACCAAUGUCCACCCAUUGGGGGUUGGUUAUGAAAAUUAUGAUAGAUCCAUACAAUGGACACUAGGGACCUUAAACAUGAUAUUAUGGAAGAAUAUUUAGUGAGACUUGGGAAGAUAUUUGCAGUAUCUUAUUAUAAGUGAAAAAAGUUUUGAAAAUUGCAGAGCAGUAUGUGUUGUGAUGUCAUUCUUAUAGACACAUAUCUGUAUGUGUUUAAAUCCAGGAAGAUGUUCAGAAAAAGGGCUCCAACAUGUUUAAAAUGUGGUGGUUUCGAUUGUUGAAUUGAAGUGGUGGAUGUACGGGUGUUGAUUGUGUUUUCCUUUCAACCUUUCUGUAUAUUUGAAAAAAAUCUUACAAUAAGAAGUUGAAAGAAAA